GAGUUUGAUCUUGGCUCAGAACGAACGCUGGCGGCAGGCCUCAAACAUGCAAGUCUAGGGGUGUAGCAAUACAUCACCGGCGGACGGGUGCGUAACACGUGGGAAUGUACCUAUUGGUUCGGAACAACGCAGGGAAACUUGCGCUAAUACCGAAUGUGCCCUUCGGGGGAAAGAUUUAUCGCCAAUGGAUCAGCCCGCGUCCGAUUAGCUAGUUGGUGAGGUAACGGCUCACCAAGGCGACGAUCGGUAGCUGUUCUGAGAGGAAGAUCAGCCACACUGGGACUGAGACACGGCCCAGACUCCUACGGGAGGCAGCAGUUGGGAAUCUUGGACAAUGGGGGAAACCCUGAUCCAGCCAUGCCGCGUGAGUGAUGAAGGCCUUAGGGUUGUAAAGCUCUUUCGCACGCGACGAUGACGACGGUAGCGUGAGAAGAAGCCCCGGCU
This 444-nucleotide ribosomal RNA is filed under the name uncultured Alphaproteobacteria bacterium. Its description in RNAcentral is "bacterial SSU rRNA". It matches the Rfam family "Bacterial small subunit ribosomal RNA", at positions 9 to 498 of the family's 1533-position model. The record is from RNAcentral. Lineage: Bacteria; Pseudomonadati; Pseudomonadota; Alphaproteobacteria.